GAUUUUAUGAAUUCCCUCAAAUUUCCCGGGGAAAAAAAUGCACAGCCCUACCGUAAGCUAUCUCAGCAGUGCGUCGCGGCGUUCUGAAAAUUGUACGAGCUUCGAUCUACCCUAAGUUUUGCGACUAUGGUGGAACUUUGCCGCUUCUGUUCAACCUCUCUUCCUCGCUGCCGGAGUGACCUUAGAUUGGUAUGCAAUGUCCGCCGUAUGUCUUUUUCAGCCAACUACUGGAUAUACUGCUUUGGCGUCACGAUUUCGUUUCUCAACGUUUUCGCUCGUGACAUGCGCAUCUCUUUUGAUCAGUUUAAUCUUAUGGUUUUCACAAGGCGGAACGGAUAAUGAUGCUAUAACUACACCUCGAAUUCCAGGUGUUGAAUUUCACUUGCAAGCAGAUGGUGAGGUCUGAAGACAAGCGGAGUUGAUUGAAGAGCUGGAAGAGGCCUCUGCUGGGACGCAAGAGCUGCUGAGAUUGCGGCCCCAUCCUCCCUGGUUAGUGCUCAGCAGGACGCAAGUUCUGUGACCAACUGAGGAAUGGAAAAUGGUCUGCAUGUCGACACAGCUAAUGCUUGAAAUUUCGGGGAAGAUCUCACAUUUGACUUUAAUAAAAAUGUGAAGGAAGAAAAGUAUUUUCAAGAGAAAAGGUUAGUAGAUUUGUUUUUGUCAAAUAGUAUGAAGCACGUAGAAAAAUUGUACAAGAGAACCAACCAAAUUGGACUAUUUACCUCUAAAGGAUUUCUUUAGUAAGGGUUAGUUCAACAAAACAAAAAUAAGGAAAUAUUUAUGGUGGGGAAACCAAGACCUUUAUUAGGAGGAUAGGGCCCAAUGUUUGUUGGGAGCUUAUGUAGCUCAUUUUGAUCUAUUUGGGAGCUUUUUUUAAUUUA
Long non-coding RNA from Dendrobium catenatum, 881 nucleotides. RefSeq lists it as uncharacterized. The record is from RefSeq and is a predicted model, not a curated record. Lineage: Eukaryota; Viridiplantae; Streptophyta; Magnoliopsida; Asparagales; Orchidaceae. The transcript is spliced from 3 exons.